GCGAAAACUUUGCAAUGCUGGCAACAGCGAUAAGGGAACCUCGAGUGCCAGGUUACAAAUCUGGCUGUCGAGAUGCCUAAAAAGCAUUUCAUAGCAAGGGCCGGGCAAGACCGGUGUCAGCCGCCGCGGUAACACCGGCGGCUCGAGCGGUAACCGUUAUUAUUGGGUCUAAAGGGUCUGUAGCCGGCCGGAUAAGUCUCUUGAGAAAUCUGGCAGCUUAACUGUCAGGCUUUCAGGAGAUACUGUCUGGCUCGAGGCCGGGAGAGGUGAGAGGUACUUCAGGGGUAGGGGUGAAAUCUUGUAAUCCUUGAAGGACCACCAGUGGCGAAGGCGUCUCACCAGAACGGACCUGACGGCAAGGGACGAAAGCUAGGGGCACGAACC
This 384-nucleotide ribosomal RNA is filed under the name uncultured prokaryote. RNAcentral's name for it is "bacterial SSU rRNA". It matches the Rfam family "Archaeal small subunit ribosomal RNA", at positions 341 to 725 of the family's 1478-position model. The record is from RNAcentral.